RNAcentral lists this ribosomal RNA (726 nucleotides) under uncultured bacterium. Its description in RNAcentral is "bacterial SSU rRNA". It matches the Rfam family "Bacterial small subunit ribosomal RNA", at positions 30 to 744 of the family's 1533-position model. The record is from RNAcentral.
CGUACGCACUGGCCCAACUGAUCGAUGGUGCUUGCACCUGAUUGACGUUGGAUCACCAGUGAGUGGCGGACGGGUGAGUAACACGUAGGUAACCUGCCCCGGAGCGGGGGAUAACAUUUGGAAACAGAUGCUAAUACCGCAUAACAACAAAAGCCACAUGACUUUUGUUUGAAAGAUGGCUUUAGCUAUCACUCUGGGAUGGACCUGCGGUGCAUUAGCUAGUUGGUAAGGUAACGGCUUACCAAGGCGAUGAUGCAUAGCCGAGUUGAGAGACUGAUCGGCCACAAUGGAACUGAGACACGGUCCAUACUCCUACGGGAGGCAGCAGUAGGGAAUCUUCCACAAUGGGCGCAAGCCUGAUGGAGCAAGCCGCGCGCGACUGAAGAAGGGUUUCGGCUCGUAAAGCUCUGUUGUCGGAGAAGAACGCGCGUGAGAGUAACUGUUCACGCAGUGACGGAAUCCAACCAGAAAGUCACGGCUAACUACGUGCCAGCAGCCGCGGUAAUACGUAGGUGGCAAGCGUUAUCCGGAUUUAUUGGGCGUAAAGCGAGCGCAGGCGGUUGCUUAGGUCUGAUGUGAAAGCCUUUGGCUUAACCGAAGAAGUGCAUCGGAAACCGGGCGACUUGAGUGCAGAAGAGGACAGCGGAACUCCAUGUGUAGCGGUGGAAUGCGUAGAUAUCUGGAGGAACACCAGUGGCGAAGGCGGCUGUCUGGUCUGCAACUGAC